MicroRNA precursor from Vulpes vulpes (red fox), 60 nucleotides. Ensembl annotates it as microRNA 144. Its record names the gene MIR144. NCBI's taxonomy places the organism in Eukaryota, Metazoa, Chordata, Mammalia, Carnivora, Canidae. The record is from Ensembl.
AGGAUAUCAUCAUAUACUGUAAGUUUGCGACAAGAUACUACAGUAUAGAUGAUGUACUAG